AUGCAAGCCGAGCGGUAGAGAUCUUUCGGGAUCUUGAGAGCGGCGUAGGGGUGCGGAAGACGUGUGCAACCUGCCUUUAUCUGGGGAGAGCCUUUCUAAAGGAAGAUUAAUACCCCAUAAUAUAUUGGAUGGCAUCAUUUGAUAUUGAAACUCCGGUGGAUAGAGAUGGGCACGCGCAAGAUUAGAUAGUUGGUGAGGUAACGGCUCACCAAGUCUGCGAUCUUUACGGGCCUGAGAGGGUGAUCCCCCACACUGGUACUGAGACACGGACCAGACUCCUACCGGAGGCAGCAGUGAGGAAUAUUGAACGAUGGGUGAGAGCCUGAUCCAUCCAUCCCGCGUGAAUGACGACGGCCCUAUGGGUUGUAAACUUCUUUGUAUACGGAUAAAACUACUCUCGUGAGAGUAGCUGAAGGUACUAUACUAAUAAGCACCGGCUAACUCCGUGCCAGCACCGCGGUAAUACGGAGGGUGCAAGCGUUAUCCGGAUUUAUUGGGUUUAAAGGGUCCGUAGGCGGAUUUGUAAGUCAGUGGUGAAAUCUCACAGCUUAACUGUGAAACUGCCAUUGAUACUGCAAGUCUUGGUGUUGUUGAAGUACUGGAAUAAGUAAUGUACCGGUGAAAUGCAUAAUAUUACUUAGAACACCAAUUGCCAAGGCGGGUUACUAAGCACCAACUGACGCUGAUGGACUAAAGCGUGAGGAGCGAACAAGAUUACAUACCCUGAUAGUCCACGCCGUAAACGAUGCUAACUCGUUUUUGGGCUUUUGGGUUCAGAGACUAAUCGAAAGUAUAAUUUAGCCACCUGGGGAGUACGAACGCAAGUUUGAAACUCAGAUGAAUUGACGGGGGCCCGCACAAGCGCUGCAUUAUGUGGUUUAAUGCGAUGAUACGCGAGGAACCUUACCAAGGCUUAAAUGGGUAAUGACAGGUUUAGAAAUAGACUAUUCUUCGGACAUUUUUCAGGAGCUGCAUACUUGUCGUCAGCUCGUGCCGUGAGGUGUUAGCUUAAAUCCGCAUCGAGCACGAGCCCUGUCCUCGUUGCCAUCAUUAAGUGGGGACUCUAUGAGCCUGCCUACGCAACUAGAGAGGAAGGUGGGGAUUACGUCAAAUCAUCGCGGCCCUUACGCCUUGAGCCACACACGUAAUACAAUGCCCGGUACAGAGGCCAGCUACACAGCAGUGUGAUGCAAAUAUCGAUAGCCGGUCUCAGUUCGAGUUGGACUCUGCAACUCGACUCUCUGAAGCUGGAAUCGCUAGUAAUCGCGCAUUAGCGAUGGCGCGAUGCAUACGUUCCCGGGCCUUGUGCACACGGCCCGUCAAGCGAUGGAAGUCUGGGGUACCUGAAGUCGGCUGACCAUAACAGGAGC
RNAcentral lists this ribosomal RNA (1370 nucleotides) under Chryseobacterium indologenes. Its description in RNAcentral is "bacterial SSU rRNA". It matches the Rfam family "Bacterial small subunit ribosomal RNA". Lineage: Bacteria; Pseudomonadati; Bacteroidota; Flavobacteriia; Flavobacteriales; Weeksellaceae. The record is from RNAcentral.